CGGAGAUAUCACGUUGAAACACCGGUACCCUUACGAUCUCCGAAGUUAAGCAACGUCAAGCCAGGUCAGUACGUAGAAGGGUUACCGCUUGGGAAUAUCAUGUGUUGUU
Molecule: non-coding RNA, 109 nt
Organism: Acanthosepion pharaonis
Lineage: Eukaryota; Metazoa; Mollusca; Cephalopoda; Sepiida; Sepiidae
Source: the annotation of a GenBank genome assembly